Molecule: non-coding RNA, 198 nt
Organism: Oryza punctata
Lineage: Eukaryota; Viridiplantae; Streptophyta; Magnoliopsida; Poales; Poaceae
Source: Rfam
AAUAAAUGCAGUUUUACAUUGUUUAUGUCUAACGUUUAACCGUUCGUCUUAUUUAAAAAAAUUUUAUGAUUAGUUUUUUUGUUGUUACUAGAUGAUAAAACAUGAAUUAUAUUUUAUGUGUGAAUAAUUUUUUUAUAAAUUUUUUAAAUAAGACGGACGGUCAAACGUGGGAUACGAAAAUCCACGGCUGUGUUUAUU